Molecule: long non-coding RNA, 663 nt
Organism: Salvia miltiorrhiza (redroot sage)
Lineage: Eukaryota; Viridiplantae; Streptophyta; Magnoliopsida; Lamiales; Lamiaceae
Exons: 5
Source: RefSeq, a predicted model, not a curated record
UUUCCGUAGCAAAAUUGGAUUUUCAAAUUUAACGUUCAAGCUUUUUCCCCCAAUUAAAACCUAGUUUUUUUCUCACUAUUCCAGCCGCGCCUGGUCUUCCAUUUCUCCCACCGCCGUCCUCUCACCGGCGUCGCCACCGUCCUUGCUCGGACGCUCAUCGUCGCAGCCGCCGUCGAUUGGGAUUGCACUGCCCUCGCCCAGCCCUACCCCGUCGCUCGACUCCAUAGCUGCAACAAUUGAUUAUCUCGCUGCUGCAUUACGGCCUUUGAUAGGAAGCACUAUUGGCAUUGCUGCAGUUCAGCCAUCAAAAAGCGGGGCCGUGUGUCUGUUACUUCGCCAUUCCUAACUUCAAGGAAGCAGCAUCGUGUGUCAAUUACAGGUCUGGCUUGGCGCGAGGAUGGGUGAAGGCUGUUGGAAUUGUCAGUUGACCGUGUCUUUCUAUGUCUCAUGCUUAUCUUAUUGCUAUGACUCUAUAAGUUAUUAAACUCCCUGCUAUAUGUCUUCACACAUAUAGUAACGCAUCGCUGCACAACUCUGAUGAAUCUCUUUAUUUAAUUUGUUGUUGCCUGUAAUAUCCCAUAAGGGAAAAUACUUCUCAAACCUUGCUAAGUCUCGAAUUAUGUUUUACCAAGCAAGUAAUUAAUUUGGUCUUAAAGUCCUUCU